RNAcentral lists this ribosomal RNA (301 nucleotides) under uncultured bacterium. RNAcentral's name for it is "partial 16S ribosomal RNA". It matches the Rfam family "Bacterial small subunit ribosomal RNA", at positions 509 to 809 of the family's 1533-position model. The record is from RNAcentral.
CAGCAGCCGCGGGAAUACAGAGGGUGCGAGCGUUAAUCGGAUUUACUGGGCGUAAAGCGUGCGUAGGCGGCUUUUUAAGUCGGAUGUGAAAUCCCUGAGCUUAACUUAGGAAUUGCAUUCGAUACUGGGAAGCUAGAGUAUGGGAGAGGAUGGUAGAAUUCCAGGUGUAGCGGUGAAAUGCGUAGAGAUCUGGAGGAAUACCGAUGGCGAAGGCAGCCAUCUGGCCUAAUACUGACGCUGAGGUACGAAAGCAUGGGGAGCAAACAGGAUUAGAUACCCCGGUAGUCCCUGUCCUUAUACA